Molecule: unclassified non-coding RNA, 186 nt
Filed under: uncultured Glomus
Lineage: Eukaryota; Fungi; Glomeromycota; Glomeromycetes; Glomerales; Glomeraceae
Description: sequence contains 18S rRNA gene
Rfam family: Eukaryotic small subunit ribosomal RNA
Source: RNAcentral
CGCAGCCGCGGUAAUUCCAGCUCCAAUAGCGUAUAUUAAAGUUGUUGCAGUUAAAAGCUCGUAGUUGAAUUUCGGGAUUGGCGCAUCGGUCGUGCCUUACGGGGUAUGAACUGGUGCAGUCAAUUUCUCACCUUCUGGAGAACCGCGAUGUCCUUAAUUGGGUGCCGCGGGGAACCAGGACCUUUA